UUUACAGAUAACACUAACUCCUCCUACUUAUUUCCCCAUUUAAAUGUUUCACUUGAAAGAUUUGAUUUAGGCUGUCCUUGACAUUCAUGCUGAGAUAAGUCCUGGCAACAAGAGGAAUUGGGAACAACCUCAAGGGCUUCAGUGUCAUCAUCAACUCUCUUCUCCCUCAUCCAGAGAUUUCAAAACUUCAAAGGAAGUGAAAAGUAUCUCUUCCUUAGGUCAUCUGAUUACUUGGUACAAGACUGGAAUCAAAUAGUUGGAGUAAACCAAAAGGGUCUCACUCUGAAGCUCAAGAUAACAUCAAACUCAUGAUCCUCCUCUCCAGACCUUCUGAGUGCUACUGUUGUAUAUCCAGACUGGUGUUUCAUGUCUUAGUGAUUCUAUGCUAGGGAGUAAAUAUGAAAACUACAGGUGCUGAAGAGGUCAGAAGAGGGUGUUGAAUUUCCUGGAGCUGGAGUCACAAGCAGUUGUGAGUUGUCUGAUGUAGGUGCUGGGAAUGGAACGUCAGUCUUCUAGGAGAGCAGUAGACACCCUUUAACUGUGGAGCCUUCUCUCUAGCCUCUUAUCCUUUAAGUUUUAAUAAAAGAAUAAAGGAAAUUGCAAAAUAUUGCCCACAGAAAUGAAAGAAAGCUUUAAUUAUGGACAGAUGUGCCUUGUGCAUGGUCUUGAUGACUCAGCAUUAUUGCUACUUCUCAAAUUGAUGUGUAGAUUCAAUGUUAUCUCAGUAAAAAGCCCAGUAAAUGUGUUUUUUUGGUUUUUGUUUCUUCUUUAGGUUGAGACAGCAUCUUAUGUAGUCUGGACUGGUACACUCACUCUGCACCUGAGGAUGACUCUGAACUUCCUUACGAUUUUCCUACCUCUAUCUCCUGAGUGUACACUUAGCUGUGAGCACCACACCUGGCUCUUACUGACAUUCUCUGCAGUGGUUUUAGAAAUUGACCAGGUGAUUCCAACACAAGAGAAUUCCAAAAAAAAUACCCAGAAUAACUGGACUCAAAACAAAACAACUCUAAGAUGCCUUUACAAAGAAAAGAACUAAAGAAGCUGAAAAGCAGCAAGCCAAGUAAUCCAAUUAAAAAAUGGGGAACAGAGCUGAACAGAGAAUUCUCGACAGAGGAAUAUCGAAUGUCAGAGAAACUCUUAAAGAAAUGCUCAACCUCAUUAGCCAUCAGGGAAAUGCAAAUCAAAACGACCCUGAGAUUUCACCUCACACCCAUCAGAAUGGUCAAGAUGAAAAACUCAAGUGACAACACAUGCUGGAGAGGUUGUGGAGAAAGGGGAACCCUCCUCCACUGCUGGUGGGAAUGUAAACUGGUACAACCACUUUGGAAAUCUAUCUGGCGCUUUCUCAGACAAUUAGGAAUAGUGCUUCCUCAAGACCCAGCUAUACCACUGCUAGGUAUAUACCCAAACUUUGCUCAAGUACACAAAAGGGAUAUUUCCUCAAACAAUUUGCUAUAUGUUUAUAGCAGCUUUAUUUGUAAUAGCCAGAACCUGGAAACAACCUGGAAACAACGGAGAAAUGGAUACAGAAAUUGUGGUAUUUUUACACAAUGGAAUACUACUCAGCAAUCAAAAAGGAGGAAAUCAUGAAAUUUGCAGGCAAAUGGUGGGAUCUAGAAAAGAUCAUUCUGAGUGAAAUAUCCCAGAAGGAGAAAGAUAAACACGGUAUAUACUCACUUAUAUAGACCUAUAAGAUAUGAUAAACAUAAUGAAAUCAAUACACCUAAAAAAGAUAAUCAAGAGAGCGGACAUGGGGUAAGAUGAUCAAUCCUCGUUUAGAAAGAUGUGCGUUGAACGUAUGACAGGAGUCUACUGAAGGCAUCUGAAAGACUCUAACUAGCAGUGUUUUCAAAGCAGAUACAAAGACUCAAAACCAAACCUUUGGCAGAGUACAGGGAAUCAUAUGAAAGAAGGGGAGUUAGUAUGAUGGGGAAAGGAUAGGAGCUCCACAAGGACCAAAUAUAUCUGGGCACAGGGUCUUUUCUGACAUUCAACCAAGGACCAUGUAUGGAUAUAACCUAGAACCUCUGCUUGGAUGUAGCCCGUGGUAGCUCAGUAACCAAUUGGUUUCCCAUAGUAAGGGGAACAAGGACUAUUUCUAACAGGAACUCAAUGGCUGGCUCUUUGACCUCCCACCCCCCAAGGGAGGAGCAGUCCUGUUAGGCCACAGAGGAGGGCUUUGCAGCCAGUCCUGAAGAUACCUGAUAAAACAGGAUCAGAUGAAUGGGGAGGAGGCCCCCCCCA
Long non-coding RNA from Psammomys obesus (fat sand rat), 2247 nucleotides. RefSeq lists it as uncharacterized. The transcript has 4 exons. Lineage: Eukaryota; Metazoa; Chordata; Mammalia; Rodentia; Muridae. The record is from RefSeq and is a predicted model, not a curated record.